This is a long non-coding RNA of Haliotis rubra (blacklip abalone), 821 nucleotides long. RefSeq lists it as uncharacterized. The transcript is spliced from 2 exons. The record is from RefSeq and is a predicted model, not a curated record. Lineage: Eukaryota; Metazoa; Mollusca; Gastropoda; Lepetellida; Haliotidae.
GGUGGAUCAUGUACGAAUAAAACACAUCUCCCUUUUAACUUGAAUGACCACCAACUUCAUACCAACAAUGAAUGGCUUCACUGACGGCGGCUGGAGGGAGUAUCUGUUUGAAUAGUGUACUCCGGGGGUAACGUGUGUCCUUACAUACUGUACAGACAUACAGAGGGACCCUGUCCUACUCGUGAUGGAGGUUACAGUGACAUACAUGAUCAAAAUGACAGUGUAGUCUAACAUUUUCCUUGAUACCCCAUGCCAACAGUUCACAGGAAUAUAUAAGAUCUGUCUUUACAAUUUCAUUGCUAGCAAUAGUAGCAUUUAGCAUGAGGUAUUGAAAUAGAUUUACAAAGCUCCUAAAGACCGUGAGUUGAAUGCAUAUAGUGAUAACUGUUGUUACAUGAUCACUCGUGGUCGCCAUGAAUCUGUAUGAGGAGGCCACAAGAGUAUCGUUUAGGUGCAGCGUACAUUAUGCAUUAUAUAGAAAUAACGGGGAACUUGUGUUCCAGUGACACGCCGCCUCGUAAUGCCAGUGUUGUCUGACAUCUUGUUUAAUUAUCCAUGGUGAUAUACAAUUCGUUUCAUACCGAUUUAUUGUAAGCAAUAGUCACUACACCUGCUUUUGGAAUAACGUCAACAAAUAAACAUCAUAAAGGCAAUAGUGAAAACAUGCUUCAGUACACCUCUGGAUACUUCCAUGCUCCACAAUCUGUCGCCGUUCUACAUAACACAAAGAGUACUGUGAACAUGUGACUUUGGACUGAACAAAAGUCUUGCUAUCAGCAUGCACGUCCAUCUGUAAAUCCUCAUUAAACCAGCACUGGAAA